CUUCCUACUUUCACUCCAGUCGCCGCCGCGCUUCCACUCCACUCCAUUUUGCUUGUCCCCUUCAGGCCGCUCGCCGCCGCGUCUCCACGCCACCCCAGUCCGUUCCGGCCAUGGCCGCCAUCGUCGAGAACGUCAUGGGCUGGCGCCCCGGCGGUGUAAAUUCCGUGGUAAGUGCCACCUCCCUCACCCCCGCCGUUGACUACGACGGCGAGGACCGCAUCAGCGCCCUCCCCGACGACCUCCUCCGCAGCAUCGUCUCACGCCUCCCCGUCAAGGACGCCGCCCGCACCGCCUCCCUCGCCUCCCGCUGGCGCCACCUCUGGCGCUCCACCCCGCUCUCCCUCAACGACGCCGACCUGCCCCGAUCCGUCGUUGCCCGCGUCCUUGCCGACCACCCGGGGCCCUUCCGCGCCAUCCACAUCACCCGCUGCCGGUUCGCGUCCCACGAGCCUGAGAUCGCAGAGUGGCCGCGCCUCUUCGCUGCCAAUGGCAUCCAGGACCUUGUCCUCGUCAACGACGCCGACCUCGCCAGGUUCCCCCCCGACGCCGUGCGCCUCCCCGGGGACAUCCUCCGCUGCGCCUCGCUCCAGCGCCUCUUCCUGGGUUUCUUCACGUUCCCCGACACCGCUGGUCUCUCCCGCCGAGCCGACGUCCUGCCCCGCCUCCAGGAACUCAGCAUGUUCACGACCAGCAUCAGCGACGGGGACCUCGACUACAUGGCUACAUGCUCGCUUGCAGCCCGGUUCUGGAGAAGCUCGCGUUCGUACUCACCUGUGCACCCGAUUUCAUCCACCUACGGAGCAGAAGCCUCCGGUGCGUGCUCCUCUGGAUUUUCAUGGCAGACGAGGUUGCUGUGGUGGAUGCCCCGCUCCUGGAGCGGCUCUUCUUGCUGGAAGCGCCCCGUGCAGGAGGUGCUGAGAGUACUAUGAUGAUCAAGAUUGCUCAUGCGCCCAACCUGCAGGUGCUCGGCUUCUUGGAGCCAGGAUUUCACCGGCUGCAGAUCGGCGACAAUGUCAUUGAGCCUGGCACAGAGCCGAGCCCAAGCACAGUGCUUCCAAGCGUCAAGAUAUUGGCAUUUAAAGUUAAUUUUGGUGUCAUAGAGGAUGUCAAGAUGCUGGUGACCUACCUCAGAUGCUUUCCCAACGUUGAGACGCUGCACAUCGAGUCUUUAACUGAACCCACUGGAAGGAACAAUGCCAAGUUCUGGCAGGAGCUCCCUACUAUUGAAUGCAUCAAGUCUCACAUCAAGAAGAUGGUUAUCCAUGAAUACAGAGGGAACAAAGUUGAACUUGAAUUCCUUAAGUUCAUUUCCACGAGAGCGCAGGAGCUCCAAGCUUUGUAUGUUCUGCUAAACAGAGAGAGUCUUACUUCGGUGGCCAAGGCGGAUAAGAUGACAAGCAAACUGGUGGCUCUCUCGGGUGUACCAUGGUGCUGUGAUUGUAAGAUGAUGGUGCUAGGCCCUAAAUUUCAGAAUGAAUGGAGCAUCCAGAAAGCAUCUGAUCUUACUGUCGACGACCCUUUCCAUUGGUGAGUUUGUGUCUGGCUAUAUAUUUGCAUGAACCAAAGCGUUUUCUGGGGGAAUCAUUUGCUGUUCUACAUAUGCAAGGGCACUGUUUAGUUUGUAGGCAAGAGUAUGUCUGUUCUUGACAAAGAACAUGAAGACUUGAACUAGAGCACGAGUACGUGGAAGUGUUGAACUGGCUGUGCUAUGCUUCAUUCAGAAUGUACCGUAUUAUGUAAUGCCCUUAUGUUUGUUCCUAGUGUAGUAAAAGACUAGUAUCAGGAUGCCAAACGCUGUGUGCUUUGGUUUGUGCUAUAUAUUUAGGUGUUGCUUCAUAAACC
RNAcentral lists this ribosomal RNA (1842 nucleotides) under Triticum aestivum (bread wheat). RNAcentral describes it as "partial small subunit ribosomal RNA". The record is from RNAcentral. Lineage: Eukaryota; Viridiplantae; Streptophyta; Magnoliopsida; Poales; Poaceae.